UCCCCGUUAUCCGAGGCGGUUUCGUCAGAGUGCUCAACUAAAUGGUAGCAACUGAAGAUAAGGGUUGCGCUCGUUGCGGGACUUAACCCAACAUCUCACGACACGAGCUGACGACAGCCAUGCAGCACCUAUAUAGCGGUCUAUUGCUAGACGCCGACGUUUCUACCGCUGUCCACUGCGCUUCGAGCCCAGGUAAGGUUCUUCGCGUUGCGUCGAAUUGAACCACAUGCUCCACCGCUUGUGCGGGCCCCCGUCAAUUCCUUUGAGUUUCAGCCUUGCGGCCGUACUCCCCAGGCGGGGCACUUAUCGCGUUAGCUGCGGCACCGACGGGGUCGCUCCCCCCGGCACCUAGUGCCCAUCGUUUACGGCGUGGACUAC
Molecule: unclassified non-coding RNA, 378 nt
Filed under: uncultured bacterium
Lineage: Bacteria
Description: contains 16S-23S intergenic spacer region
Source: RNAcentral